RNAcentral lists this ribosomal RNA (254 nucleotides) under uncultured bacterium. RNAcentral describes it as "partial 16S ribosomal RNA". It matches the Rfam family "Bacterial small subunit ribosomal RNA", at positions 524 to 776 of the family's 1533-position model. The record is from RNAcentral.
UACAGAGGUCUCAAGCGUUGUUCGGAAUUACUGGGCGUAAAGGGCUCGUAGGCGGCCAACUAAGUCAGACGUGAAAUCCCCAGGCUCAACCUGGGAACUGCGUCUGAUACUGGAUGGCUUGAGUUUGGGAGAGGGAUGCGGAAUUCCAGGUGUAGCGGUGAAAUGCGUAGAUAUCUGGAGGAACACCUGAGGCGAAGGCGGGUUGCUAGGCUGACACUGACGCUGAGUGCGCGAAAGCCAGGGGAGCAAACGGG